GGGCCUGCCCAGUGAUAUUUCAACGGCCGCGGUACUCUGACCGUGCAAAGGUAGCAUAAUCAUUUGCCCUAUAAUUAAGGGCUAGUAUGAACGGUCUAACAAGAAUGGAACUGUCUCUUUUAAAAUCCUUAGAAUUUGGUUUUUAGGUGAAGAAACCUAAAUUAUAUUGAUAGACAAGAAGACCCUAUCGAGCUUUAAAACAAUUAGUUAAACAAAUAGAUAACACUAACUUUAGCUAAAAAUUUUGGUUGGGGCGACUAAGGAACAAACAAAGCUUCCUUAAUAAAUUCUACACUAAUAAGUAAUGAUCCAAAAUAUUUGAUUAAUAAAAUUAGUUACCGUAGGGAUAACAGCAUAAUCUUCUUCAAGAGUUCUUAUCGAAAAGAAUGUUUGUGACCUCGAUGUUGGACUAGGAUAUCCAAAAGAUGCAGAAGUCUUUAAAGGUUGGUCUGUUCGACCAAUAAAAUCCUACGUGAUCUAUCU
This 483-nucleotide ribosomal RNA is filed under the name Bithynia siamensis siamensis. RNAcentral describes it as "partial large subunit ribosomal RNA". It matches the Rfam family "Bacterial large subunit ribosomal RNA", at positions 1854 to 2610 of the family's 2925-position model. Lineage: Eukaryota; Metazoa; Mollusca; Gastropoda; Littorinimorpha; Bithyniidae. The record is from RNAcentral.